Molecule: ribosomal RNA, 119 nt
Filed under: Salmo salar (Atlantic salmon)
Lineage: Eukaryota; Metazoa; Chordata; Actinopteri; Salmoniformes; Salmonidae
Source: RNAcentral
GCUUACGGCCAUACCAGCCUGGGUACGCCCGAUCUCGUCUGAUCUCGCAAGCUAAGCAGGGUCGGGCCUGGUUAGUACUUGGAUGGGAGACCGCCUGGGAAUACCAGGUGCUGUAAGCA